Molecule: long non-coding RNA, 1201 nt
Filed under: Homo sapiens (human)
Lineage: Eukaryota; Metazoa; Chordata; Mammalia; Primates; Hominidae
Description: long intergenic non-protein coding RNA 1193
Source: RNAcentral
GUCCCAGUCAGUAACACUCUGGGAGGGCUCAGGCCACAUCACGAAAUGUGACAGGAUAGCCUUGAACUCAUCAAUUGCUGGGGGCACCUCAAACUCAACUCCAAAAUUGAUCUAAUGAACUUUCCCAAACCACAUUCCCUUCUUGCAUUUCUGAGAGAAUGGAUUCCCAUUCAUCUGACUACAGUGCUACCCUGAAAGCAGAUCCAGAGACUAAGAUUCACCUGCAGGUGAUUCAUUUGCAAGGUAAGCUGUCAUCAGUUGGAGGUAAGCAGAAGACAGUAGAGAGUACAGAGCCCUGGACUGUGACUCAGAGGAUGAGCACCAGAUCCAGUUUGCUGUGCCACAGUGCCUUCUCCAAAGUCACUCACAGAAGGCAUCCCACUCAACCUCACCUUGGGGUAAAUCAAAAUAGUCCUCCUUCUGAAGCUACCGGGUAAAACGGUGGUAGCUGUGCAGCUGCUGCUGAUCAACAGGCUCCAGAAACAGCAGCAGGAGCUCAGCAUGAUGUAAACUCCACUGCGGACAGAUGCAGCCAAGAAGACAGGUCACCUUCUACCAACUCCCACCAGAGGAAACUCUUCCCCAGGACCCAGUACGUUGGCCCUCUGACCCUGCACACAGCACAUGAUGCUGAGGUUCAGUGCUGAACAAGAGCUACUGAGAGCCAGAGAUUCACUUCUUCCAUGGAGCCCCACUCAUGGAUGGAGGCUCUGUCCCGGGUCCAGUGCCACUGGGAACACUGGGUCUCUGGUUUCUAGCUCUGUCCUAUGGCAGAGGUUCCACCCCACAAUAACCGAAGUGCUGAGAAGGUGGGAAGCUCCUGCCCGACCCUCCACUGAGAGCUCAGCUCCUAGGCUGAGGAAUAAAACAGCUCAACUUUGUCUACACCUGCAGAACCUUGUUUAGGAGCUCUGUCCCAGGAGAGAGGGGGCAAUGGAAUUCAGUCAUAAAAUAUGAUCCUUAAUUAGUCCUAAAAAUCCUAACUUCAGUAACAGCAGAUUGUGGACAAAUUGAAAGCCUGCCAGUGCUCUCAAAAACAGUGGAUGGUGUGGUGGAAAGCCCUUGGAAGGAGACGGGUGGAUGCAUGGGAGAUGCAGGCUACACUGCAGGGCUGCUGGCUUGCAGGAGAGAACCGAGGACAAGGGAGAGCUGGGGAAAGUUCUCUUGUGGUUGAAAUAAAUGCCAGACACUCUUCAAUGGA